RNAcentral lists this ribosomal RNA (1264 nucleotides) under Salmonella enterica. Its description in RNAcentral is "partial 23S ribosomal RNA". It matches the Rfam family "Bacterial large subunit ribosomal RNA", at positions 1043 to 2290 of the family's 2925-position model. The record is from RNAcentral. Lineage: Bacteria; Pseudomonadati; Pseudomonadota; Gammaproteobacteria; Enterobacterales; Enterobacteriaceae.
GGUCCCAAAGUCAUGGUUAAGUGGGAAACGAUGUGGGAAGGCCCAGACAGCCAGGAUGUUGGCUUAGAAGCAGCCAUCAUUUAAAGAAAGCGUAAUAGCUCACUGGUCGAGUCGGCCUGCGCGGAAGAUGUAACGGGGCUAAACCAUGCACCGAAGCUGCGGCAGCGACACUGUGUGUUGUUGGGUAGGGGAGCGUUCUGUAAGCCUGUGAAGGUGUGUCGUGAGGCAUGCUGGAGGUAUCAGAAGUGCGAAUGCUGACAUAAGUAACGAUAAAGCGGGUGAAAAGCCCGCUCGCCGGAAGACCAAGGGUUCCUGUCCAACGUUAAUCGGGGCAGGGUGAGUCGACCCCUAAGGCGAGGCCGAAAGGCGUAGUCGAUGGGAAACGGGUUAAUAUUCCCGUACUUGGUGUUACUGCGAAGGGGGGACGGAGAAGGCUAUGUUGGCCGGGCGACGGUUGUCCCGGUUUAAGCGUGUAGGUGUGUGUUCCAGGUAAAUCCGGUUCACUUUAACACUGAGGCGUGACGACGAGGCACUACGGUGCUGAAGCAACAAAUGCCCUGCUUCCAGGAAAAGCCUCUAAGCAUCAGGUAACAUCAAAUCGUACCCCAAACCGACACAGGUGGUCAGGUAGAGAAUACCAAGGCGCUUGAGAGAACUCGGGUGAAGGAACUAGGCAAAAUGGUGCCGUAACUUCGGGAGAAGGCACGCUGACACGUAGGUGAAGUGAUUUACUCAUGGAGCUGAAGUCAGUCGAAGAUACCAGCUGGCUGCAACUGUUUAUUAAAAACACAGCACUGUGCAAACACGAAAGUGGACGUAUACGGUGUGACGCCUGCCCGGUGCCGGAAGGUUAAUUGAUGGGGUCAGCGCAAGCGAAGCUCCUGAUCGAAGCCCCGGUAAACGGCGGCCGUAACUAUAACGGUCCUAAGGUAGCGAAAUUCCUUGUCGGGUAAGUUCCGACCUGCACGAAUGGCGUAAUGAUGGCCAGGCUGUCUCCACCCGAGACUCAGUGAAAUUGAACUCGCUGUGAAGAUGCAGUGUACCCGCGGCAAGACGGAAAGACCCCGUGAACCUUUACUAUAGCUUGACACUGAACAUUGAGCCUUGAUGUGUAGGAUAGGUGGGAGGCUUUGAAGUGUGGACGCCAGUCUGCAUGGAGCCGACCUUGAAAUACCACCCUUUAAUGUUUGAUGUUCUAACGUGGACCCGUUACCCGGGUUGCGGACAGUGUCUGGUGGGUAGUUUGACUGGGGCGGUCUCCUCC